RNAcentral lists this ribosomal RNA (253 nucleotides) under Pseudoduganella albidiflava. Its description in RNAcentral is "partial 16S ribosomal RNA". It matches the Rfam family "Bacterial small subunit ribosomal RNA", at positions 524 to 776 of the family's 1533-position model. Lineage: Bacteria; Pseudomonadati; Pseudomonadota; Betaproteobacteria; Burkholderiales; Oxalobacteraceae. The record is from RNAcentral. RNAcentral also lists the same sequence under 1 other name.
UACGUAGGGUGCAAGCGUUAAUCGGAAUUACUGGGCGUAAAGCGUGCGCAGGCGGUUUUGUAAGUCUGUCGUGAAAUCCCCGGGCUUAACCUGGGAAUGGCGAUGGAGACUGCAAGGCUGGAGUUUGGCAGAGGGGGGUAGAAUUCCACGUGUAGCAGUGAAAUGCGUAGAGAUGUGGAGGAACACCGAUGGCGAAGGCAGCCCCCUGGGUCAAGACUGACGCUCAUGCACGAAAGCGUGGGGAGCAAACAGG